GGGAAGGUGGCUCAGUGGUAGAGCACUUGCCUUGCAUGCAUGAGGCUCUGAGUUCGACUCCUCAGACCACCUA
Non-coding RNA from Dipodomys ordii (Ord's kangaroo rat), 73 nucleotides. The record is from Rfam. NCBI's taxonomy places the organism in Eukaryota, Metazoa, Chordata, Mammalia, Rodentia, Heteromyidae.